Long non-coding RNA from Bos indicus x Bos taurus (hybrid cattle), 597 nucleotides. Lineage: Eukaryota; Metazoa; Chordata; Mammalia; Artiodactyla; Bovidae. The record is from Ensembl.
AACCUCACCAUUGUUUCUUCUCCUUUACAGCAGGUUCAGGAUGUCAUAUGAAGUCAGCCUCUUCUUUUGCCCCAUCCUGCUCCCAACAUUACAGCUGGAGGUGCAGCUCAGCUUCAUGCUGGGUAGGGUGGCAGGAUCUCAGGUGGAUUCUUUACUGCUGAGCCAUUGGGGAAGCACUUACUUCGGGUCAGCACUAUCGAAGCACCAUUUUUCUUUUGGGAACUCAGGCUGGUCAUAACUGGAGUUUAGAAUACUCUGAACUGCUCCAAAUGCUUCACAGGGGCAAUGACUGACCAGUGCUACAAAUCCGUGGUCACUGGGGCUGGAACCAGUACCCAGGUUGCUGGAGCCCACUUUAAUGUUUCUUCUACUCACCAUCUGCUUGGACUCUGGGAACAUGGCAAAGUGCCCAAGAUGGAAGAUAAGGAAACCAAGGUUGAAGAUUACUCAGAAAGAAAAACAAAACAAAACAAUGAUUUCAAUUGGGCCCUGAAGUGGAGAUUCAUUAAGAAGCUAAAAAUAAAUAUGCUUUUGUACUGAAUUCAAAUAUGUAUAACAGCAAAUCAAUAAAAUCAGUAUGUUAUACUCUUAGUUACA